RNAcentral lists this ribosomal RNA (501 nucleotides) under uncultured bacterium. RNAcentral describes it as "partial 16S ribosomal RNA". It matches the Rfam family "Bacterial small subunit ribosomal RNA", at positions 30 to 523 of the family's 1533-position model. The record is from RNAcentral.
AUUGAACGCUGGCGGCAGGCUUAACACAUGCAAGUCGAGCGGGGGAAGGUAGCUUGCUACCGGACCUAGCGGCGGACGGGUGAGUAAUGCUUAGGAAUCUGCCUAUUAGUGGGGGACAACAUCUCGAAAGGGAUGCUAAUACCGCAUACGUCCUAUGGGAGAAAGCAGGGGAUCUUCGGACCUUGCGCUAAUAGAUGAGCCUAAGUCGGAUUAGCUAGUUGGUGGGGUAAAGGCCUACCAAGGCGACGAUCUGUAGCGGGUCUGAGAGGAUGAUCCGCCACACUGGGACUGAGACACGGCCCAGACUCCGACGGGAGGCAGCAGUGGGGAAUAUUGGACAAUGGGGGGAACCCUGAUCCAGCCAUGCCGCGUGUGUGAAGAAGGCCUUAUGGUUGUAAAGCACUUUAAGCGAGGAGGAGGCUACUUUAGUUAAUACCUAGAGAUAGUGGACGUUACUCGCAGAAUAAGCACCGGCUAACUCUGUGCCAGCAGCCGCAGUAA